AUAACGACUCUCGGCAACGGAUAUCUCGGCUCUCGCAUCGAUGAAGAACGCAGCGAAAUGCGAUACUUGGUGUGAAUUGCAGAAUCCCGCGAACCAUCGAGUCUUUGAACGCAAGUUGCGCCCAAAGCCAUUCGGCCGAGGGCACGUCUGCCUGGGUGUCACGCAACAU
Molecule: ribosomal RNA, 169 nt
Filed under: Croton ekmanii
Lineage: Eukaryota; Viridiplantae; Streptophyta; Magnoliopsida; Malpighiales; Euphorbiaceae
Also listed under: 1 other name
Description: 5.8S ribosomal RNA
Rfam family: 5.8S ribosomal RNA
About the family: 5.8S ribosomal RNA (5.8S rRNA) is a component of the large subunit of the eukaryotic ribosome. It is transcribed by RNA polymerase I as part of the 45S precursor that also contains 18S and 28S rRNA.
Source: RNAcentral